CGGGGUGAGUAACACGUGAGCAACCUGCCUUUAAGAGUGGGAUAACGGUCGGAAACGACCGCUAAUACCGCAUAAUAUACAUGAAUCGCAUGGUUUGUGUAUCAAAGAUUUAUCGCUUAAGGAUGGGCUCGCGUCUGAUUAGCUGGUUGGUGAGGUAACGGCUCACCAAGGCGACGAUCAGUAGCCGUACUGAGAGGUAGAACGGCCACAUUGGGACUGAGACACGGCCCAGACUCCUACGGAAGGCAGCAG
Molecule: ribosomal RNA, 252 nt
Filed under: uncultured bacterium
Lineage: Bacteria
Description: partial 16S ribosomal RNA
Rfam family: Bacterial small subunit ribosomal RNA
Source: RNAcentral